This 588-nucleotide ribosomal RNA is filed under the name uncultured bacterium. RNAcentral's name for it is "bacterial SSU rRNA". It matches the Rfam family "Bacterial small subunit ribosomal RNA", at positions 59 to 630 of the family's 1533-position model. The record is from RNAcentral.
AAGUCGAGCGAACUUUUGGGAGCUUGCUCCCUGAAGUUAGCGGCGGACGGGUGAGUAACACGUGGGCAACCUGCCUAUAAGACUGGGAUAACUUCGGGAAACCGGAGCUAAUACCGGAUAAUUCAUAUCUACACAUGUAGAUAUGCUGAAAGACGGUUUACGCUGUCACUUAUAGAUGGGCCCGCGGCGCAUUAGCUAGUUGGUGAGGUAACGGCUCACCAAGGCAACGAUGCGUAGCCGACCUGAGAGGGUGAUCGGCCACACUGGGACUGAGACACGGCCCAGACUCCUACGGGAGGCAGCAGUAGGGAAUCUUCCGCAAUGGACGAAAGUCUGACGGAGCAACGCCGCGUGAGUGAUGAAGGUUUUCGGAUCGUAAAACUCUGUUGUUAGGGAAGAACAAGUACUAGAGUAACUGCUAGUACCUUGACGGUACCUAACCAGAAAGCCACGGCUAACUACGUGCCAGCAGCCGCGGUAAUACGUAGGUGGCAAGCGUUGUCCGGAAUUAUUGGGCGUAAAGCGCGCGCAGGCGGUCCUUUAAGUCUGAUGUGAAAGCCCACGGCUCAACCGUGGAGGGUCAUUGGA